Molecule: long non-coding RNA, 442 nt
Organism: Panicum virgatum (switchgrass)
Lineage: Eukaryota; Viridiplantae; Streptophyta; Magnoliopsida; Poales; Poaceae
Exons: 2
Source: RefSeq, a predicted model, not a curated record
CCUGAAAUUCCAAUCUUGCCCCCUACCCCUUGGACACCUUAUCCUCUCUCACGAUUGAAUUAGGCCACGGGCCCCUCAUUCUUUCUCGUCCAAGGACAGCGCUCAUCCUGGCCGGCGCUCUCCCAUCCGCAGCCGGCGAGCUCUCCCAUCCGGCGCUCUCCCAUGUGCCUAGUUCAUGCCCCAAGAAGCUUAUCUCCCCAAGAAGGUGCCUGGAUUGGAAAAGCUACAUCUGGGAUUAGAUGAGGUCAAGAAGAAGAUGAUAGUGAUGAACAAUAGGGAGCCUACAAUAAAUAGAUGAUGUGCUGCUUGUACUGAAGUAGAAUUGAUGUAUUGUUUCCCUAUCAUCGAAAGAUGUUGUCUGUACUAGUAACUAUGCAAUAAAAUGUGGCCAUCUUAUAAUAUGUGUUUUGUAACUGAUGCAAUGAAAUUAUCAAUCUGUACA